Molecule: transfer RNA, 71 nt
Filed under: pig gut metagenome
Rfam family: tRNA
About the family: Transfer RNA (tRNA) molecules are approximately 80 nucleotides in length. Their secondary structure includes four short double-helical elements and three loops (D, anti-codon, and T loops).
Source: RNAcentral
GAAGUUUAGCUCAGCUGGGAGAGCGUCUGCCUUACAAGCAGAGGGUCGGGGGUUCGAGCCCCUCAACUUCC